Mastomys coucha (southern multimammate mouse) is the source of this 568-nucleotide long non-coding RNA. RefSeq lists it as uncharacterized. The record is from RefSeq and is a predicted model, not a curated record. The transcript has 2 exons. NCBI's taxonomy places the organism in Eukaryota, Metazoa, Chordata, Mammalia, Rodentia, Muridae.
CCCUGCUCGGAGCAGUGGCCUCGAAGCUCCGCCCCCACCCGAGGCCACGCCCUUCCACUCCGGUUCUUGAAUACCCGCCGCCUGCCAUGAGUAAGCAGGUUGCCACACCACUCUGCUCUCUAACUGGGAAAACCGCACACCCAGCAAUGUAUGACAGCAUCCGGUGACCGGAUAUAGAACAUACUAGGCGACCCCUGACAGCCGCCCUCUGACAAUCCAUGGAUCCAAGACUCCUGCAGCUCCCCCUCGGGAAGCAACCAGGAAUACAUCAAAGGCCAUAGACCGGAUUUCCAAGGGUCUGCCGAAGCCUUACAACAGACUACAGAGUUGGAAGUGCUGGAAGACGGAGUGUUACCCCUAAACCCAUGCCCCCGACCCCACCAAGACUAAUCAAUCCCCAAGCUGGGAGUCCUACCAUCCGGGUCCUCCCUCCCACAACUCUGUCUUACCGACCCUAUAAAUCGUAAUAAAUAUCUGUGUUACAGCAAGGAGGCAUAUCUCGCACCCCUGCAUAAGUUAUAAUAAAUAUUACAUACACCCCUCCUUCACCUAGGAGGAUAUACAUAAA